UCUCAUGACCAUACUGGCUUGUCAAAGCCUGAUCUUGUCAGUUUUUAGAAGCUAAGCAAGGCUGGGCCUGGGUAAUACUUUGAUGGGAGCCUCAAAAUUUCAGGUGCUACAGUAG
This 115-nucleotide ribosomal RNA is filed under the name Periophthalmus magnuspinnatus. The record is from RNAcentral. Lineage: Eukaryota; Metazoa; Chordata; Actinopteri; Gobiiformes; Gobiidae.